RNAcentral lists this long non-coding RNA (1546 nucleotides) under Dasypus novemcinctus (nine-banded armadillo). Its description in RNAcentral is "lncRNA (ENSDNOG00000052498.1)". The record is from RNAcentral. Lineage: Eukaryota; Metazoa; Chordata; Mammalia; Cingulata; Dasypodidae.
CCGGGCCGAACUCGGGGCCGCACACACUGGACGGACUCGCCCCGGCUUGGCCCCGGGUCGCCCCGCGGGGGCAGGGGACACAGGCGGCCGCACUCACCCGGCAACGCCUCCUCCCCCGCCGGCGGCAGCAGCACAGCCGAAGGCCCCGGACACCAUCUUCUGCCGCCGCCUUGUCCUCGGCGGCGGCUACCAACCGCCCAUUCGGCGCCGCCAAACGACACCACGGCCGUUCCGGCGCCGGCCCCGAGCUCCGGGAGGGAAGCUACCUGGCCCACGCCAGGCCGACCCCGCAGCACUUUGGACCAGCCUCGGACGAACAGAGCGAGUCGCCCGCAGUCUGUCGCGCAGCAGCCUGCUGUCCUGAGCCUGGUGUCUACUCGCCUGCCCCGGGGACUGGGGGACCGUGCCAGGAUCUGUGACAGGGUACUGCCCGCGAGGACUGGGGCCCGAUCGGGCACCUUGAGAAGAGUCCUUGCAAGAUUGCCCCUCCUCCGCGCGCACACACACAUCCGCCGGGACCCCAGCUAACAAGUUUCCUGAAAUUCUGCAAGGUGGGGCAGCUCAAAUAGUAUCAAACCAGGUAAGGCAAAGAAAACAUACACAGAGGAGAGCUAAGAUUUCACCGAUUGAAAUGAAGAUUUAAGUGCCAACUUUCAGCUUGAUAACAUGAGCUCCCUGCUGGGUUAGGAUGGCUACCCCAGUCGGAAAAAAACAAUUUCAAGGGAAUUACGAAAUUGUGAAUAUGCGACUUAAGCUCCUGAGGCUUGUUGAGUGUUACAAUCUGAUGAACAGAAGGUACACUUAGAAAAAUUGUGUAAUACUUUUUUUAACUGGUAUAUCCAGAAAUAUCUAGUAUGAUUGAAAGCUUUCAGGUGUAACCUCACCUGGGAGCUGUGUUUGAAUAGAAAUAAAAUGAAUAGUCUCACCGUUUUAAAGGGCACCAAAACAGAACAAACCCUAUUAGGGAGCUGAGUUAGCAGGACUUCAUUUGUUAUGAUCAACAAUGACUAAAAAAAAAAAAGGCUAAUAAACAUUAACGAUUUUCAUUUUCCAACAGCCUGACCCAGUAAGGUUGUGCUUGAGACAGGCUUGCUGUUUUCACCACUUCAUUUAUUUUUAAAUUUUUGCACUACUACAUAUCUGAGAACUUGUCUCUGAAUCAUUGGAAAGAUCAUUGGGAAGUCAUUCUCAUUGUUGACUUAUUUUGAAAGCUGACCUUUUCUUACACCACAUCAAUAUGAUACACGAGAGAAGUUAAAAUUAAAGCCCUAAAUUGUCAUUAUACCUUGGGGAAAGAUGUGAACCAGAAAUACUAAAGAAAGGAACUGAUUCUGUUAGGCACAUAAUUAUCAGCUCUCAGAAAAUAAGUGGUGAGGACGAAUUUCGCCAGAGCAUUGGUAAGAACAGAAUUAGAUCUCUAAAGAACAUAUUGGUGCUUGAACUUCCUCUUAUCAAUGACAAAAGUCAUUGAAAAUACAAAUACUAUCCAACUUAGCAUGUAAAAUCUUUGGAAUAAAAUCUUUGGAAUAAAAAUAAAGUUUUAAAC